Molecule: transfer RNA, 72 nt
Filed under: Pelagophyceae sp. CCMP2097
Lineage: Eukaryota; Pelagophyceae
Description: tRNA-Asp
Rfam family: tRNA
About the family: Transfer RNA (tRNA) molecules are approximately 80 nucleotides in length. Their secondary structure includes four short double-helical elements and three loops (D, anti-codon, and T loops). Further hydrogen bonds mediate the characteristic L-shaped molecular structure. tRNAs have two regions of fundamental functional importance: the anti-codon, which is responsible for specific mRNA codon recognition, and the 3' end, to which the tRNAs corresponding amino acid is attached (by aminoacyl-tRNA synthetases). tRNAs cope with the degeneracy of the genetic code in two manners: having more than one tRNA (with a specific anti-codon) for a particular amino acid; and 'wobble' base-pairing, i.e. permitting non-standard base-pairing at the 3rd anti-codon position.
Source: RNAcentral
UCCCUGUUCGUAUAGUGGUUAGUAUCUCCGCCUGUCACGCGGAAGACCGGGGUUCAAUUCCCCGACAGGGAG